UCCGGAGUCGUCUAAUGGUAGGACAAUAGCCUUUGGAGCUAUUUAUCUUCGUUCGAAUCGAAGCUCCGGAGCCA
RNAcentral lists this transfer RNA (74 nucleotides) under Candidatus Gottesmanbacteria bacterium RIFCSPHIGHO2_01_FULL_40_15. RNAcentral's name for it is "tRNA-Gln". It matches the Rfam family "tRNA". Rfam says of the family: Transfer RNA (tRNA) molecules are approximately 80 nucleotides in length. Lineage: Bacteria; Candidatus Gottesmaniibacteriota. The record is from RNAcentral.